CCUGCUGAUAGGUGGCGCAGGUUGGGCUGGUGCAUCAGGUCUGAAACUGGUGGCACUGAAGCUCUGCCAUUUCUAGGAUGCUGGUUGUGUCUGGUGGGGGAAAUUUAGGGAGCAACUUUUGACAGGAAAGCAUAACAGGCUACAGAAAAAUACAAGAGGAGACUCAAAGAGAGGCACAAAGCACAAGCCUAAACAGCAGAGGUGGAGUGCCAUCUGGAGUACCAGACGUUUUGUGGGUAUGUCACAGCCAUCUAGCCUCCGUUGUGCUGCUGAUCCACCCCAGUGGCAAACCCAGCUAAGUGAAUCUAGCCUCCUCAUCCACAGCCAGCAGUAGUGCAGGAAUCUGGUCUGACUGCACCAAGCAUGCACAGACCAGCACAGGAAUCCUCUACACGCUCUUUGCCGCUCGGGAAUGUGUGCAACGUCACCAACCGCCUGAUAUCACAUGGACGGCUGCCCACCUGUUGUAACACACAUCCUUCUUAUUCACUUGUACUGAACAAGGAUUCAACCAUAAAACUUAAAAUAGAUCCUUCCUCCACCAGUGAAAGUAUAAUGUUUAGACCAAAUUGGUUUUAGUUGUGUAUGCACCCAUACCAUUAGGCCUUUUCACAUUGUCACAUUUUGACUUGUCAAAGCAGCAUAUGGGGGCUCUGCUCUUUUCAAGUAUCCAAGUAAGUCAAGACACUAUGUCAGUGAGCCAUCAUGCACAAUACCAGGACCCUGACACAGAAUUUAGCCAUCUUAUUGUUUAAUGUGUGUUUUUGCAAGUGUUACAUGUCAAAAUGUCUUCCAUGAAAAAAGGCAUGUUAAACAGGGAUACACAUGUCUAUAUCAGCAAUCAAAUAAUAUAUUACCUAAAUAACUACCGAACGACUAUAUAUUUAAAAAAAACUAUGAGCACACUUGUGAUAAUGUAUCCUCUAAACACUGGUACUUUUUGAUCACUUUUGUCUUCUUCGCAGAAUUUGAUUCUUUAUUUGUAUAAGCUGUUAUAUGACACCAUUUUAAUCAUCCAUGAAUCACAGGGUUCAUGGUUUAAAAACAAUAUUAUAUUAGAAAACUGCAGUCAACUACAGGUACAACAACUACAGAUAAAGAUAUUUCACCUAAUUUUAUCAGUUUUUCUUAGGCCCAUUUUGGUGCAGAGAAAAGUUUGUUUUACUUGUUUUUUUAACUGGUGAAUGGCCAGUUAGCAUGAAAC
Xiphias gladius (swordfish) is the source of this 1204-nucleotide long non-coding RNA. RefSeq lists it as uncharacterized. The transcript has 5 exons. The record is from RefSeq and is a predicted model, not a curated record. NCBI's taxonomy places the organism in Eukaryota, Metazoa, Chordata, Actinopteri, Istiophoriformes, Xiphiidae.